Molecule: ribosomal RNA, 1057 nt
Filed under: Lophocereus schottii
Lineage: Eukaryota; Viridiplantae; Streptophyta; Magnoliopsida; Caryophyllales; Cactaceae
Description: bacterial SSU rRNA
Rfam family: Eukaryotic small subunit ribosomal RNA
Source: RNAcentral
CCACUGUUACUUUGAAAAAAUUAGAGUGCUCAAAGUAGGCCUGCAGUCUGGAUACAUUAACAUAGGAUAACAUCAUAGGAUUCGGAUCCUAUUAUGUUGGCCUUCAGGAUUAGAGUAAUGAUUAAAAGGGACAGUUGGGAGCAUUCGCAUUUCAUAGCCAUAGGUGAAAUUCUUGGAUUUAUGAAAGACAAACAAUUGCGACAACAUUUGCCAAGGAUGUUUUCAUUAAUCAAGAACAAAAGUUUGGGGCUCGACGAUGAUCAGAUACCGUCCUAGUCUCAACCAUAAAGGAUUCUACUUGGGAUUGGUGGAUCUUGGUGUUAGGAUGCUGCCAGCACCUUAAGGGAAAUCAAAGUUUUUGGAUUCCAGGGGGAGUAUGGUCGUAAGGCUUAAACUUAAAGGAAUUGACGGAAAGGCACCACCAGGAGUGGAGCCUGUGGCUUAAUCUGACUUAAGAUGGGGAAACUUACCAUGUUUAGACAUAGUGAGGAUCGAUAGACUGAGAGCUCUUUCUUGAUUCUAUGGGCGGUGGUGCAUGGUCGUUCUUAGUUAGUGGAGCGAUUUGUCUGGUUAACUCUGAUAACGAACGAGAUCUCACCCUACUAACUAGCUAUGUGCAGGUAACCUUUCACAGCUAGCUUCUCAGAGGGACUAUGGCCUUUUAGGCCAUGAAAGUUUGAGGCAAUAACAGGUUUGUGAUCCCUUAGAUGUUUUGGGUCGCACCCACACUGCACUGACUUGUUCAAUGAGUCUACAGGCUUGGCCGAUAGGCCUGGGUAAUCUUUGAAAUUUCAUGGUGAUGGGGAUAGAUCAUUGCAAUUGUUGGUCUUCAACGAUGAAUUCCUAGUAAGAGUGAGUCAUCAUCUUAGGUUGACUAUGUCCAUGCCCUUUGUACACAUUGCCUGCCACUCCUACCGAUUGAAUGGUCCGGUGGAGUGUUCGAAUCACGGUGAUAUGGGCGGUUCACCACCGGCGACGUCACGAGAAGUCCACUGUACCUUAUUAUAUAGUGGAAAGAGAACUUGUAACAAGGUUUCCGUAGGUGAACCUCUGGAAG